UACGUAGGGUGCGAGCGUUAAUCGGAAUUACUGGGCGUAAAGUGUGCGCAGGUGGCUUCGCAAGUCGAGUGUGAAAUCCCCGGGCUUAACCUGGGAAUUGCGCUCGAAACUACGGAGCUGGAGUAUGGCAGAGGGAGGUGGAAUUCCACGUGCAGCGGUGAAAUGCGUAGAGAUGUGGAGGAACACCAAUGGCGAAGGCAGCCUCCUGGGCCAAUACUGACACUCAUGCACGAAAGCGUGGGGAGCAAACAGG
This 253-nucleotide ribosomal RNA is filed under the name uncultured bacterium. Its description in RNAcentral is "partial 16S ribosomal RNA". It matches the Rfam family "Bacterial small subunit ribosomal RNA", at positions 524 to 776 of the family's 1533-position model. The record is from RNAcentral.